Molecule: small nuclear RNA, 101 nt
Filed under: Cavia aperea (Brazilian guinea pig)
Lineage: Eukaryota; Metazoa; Chordata; Mammalia; Rodentia; Caviidae
Source: RNAcentral
GCGCUCGCUUCAGGAGCACAUAUACUAAAAUUGGAACAAUACAGAGAACAUGGCCCCUGCGCAACGAUGACAUGCAAAUUCCUGAAGCAUUCCAUAUUUUA